GGGGAAUAUUGGACAAUGGGCGAAAGCCUGAUCCAGCAAUGCCGCGUGUGUGAAGAAGGUCUUCGGAUUGUAAAGCACUUUCGACGGGGACGAUGAUGACGGUACCCGUAGAAGAAGCCCCGGCUAACUUCGUGCCAGCAGCCGCGGUAAUACGAAGGGGGCUAGCGUUGCUCGGAAUGACUGGGCGUAAAGGGCGCGUAGGCGGAACAUACAGUCAGAUGUGAAAUUCCCGGGCUCAACCUGGGGGCUGCAUUUGAUACGUGUGAUCUAGAGUGAGGAAGAGGGUCGUGGAAUUCCCAGUGUAGAGGUGAAAUUCGUAGAUAUUGGGAAGAACACCGGUGGCGAAGGCGGCGACCUGGUCCUUUACUGACGCUGAGGCGCGAAAGCGUGGGGAGCAAAC
This 400-nucleotide ribosomal RNA is filed under the name uncultured bacterium. RNAcentral's name for it is "bacterial SSU rRNA". It matches the Rfam family "Bacterial small subunit ribosomal RNA", at positions 356 to 773 of the family's 1533-position model. The record is from RNAcentral.